This 467-nucleotide ribosomal RNA is filed under the name uncultured bacterium. RNAcentral's name for it is "partial 16S ribosomal RNA". It matches the Rfam family "Bacterial small subunit ribosomal RNA", at positions 28 to 506 of the family's 1533-position model. The record is from RNAcentral.
GACGAACGCUGGCGGCGUGCUUAACACAUGCAAGUCGAACGGAAAGGCCCUGCUUUUGUGGGGUGCUCGAGUGGCGAACGGGUGAGUAACACGUGAGUAACCUGCCCUUGACUUUGGGAUAACUUCAGGAAACUGGGGCUAAUACCGGAUAGGAGCUCCUGCUGCAUGGUGGGGGUUGGAAAGUUUCGGCGGUUGGGGAUGGACUCGCGGCUUAUCAGCUUGUUGGUGGGGUAGUGGCUUACCAAGGCUUUGACGGGUACCCGGCCUGAGAGGGUGACCGGCCACAUUGGGACUGAGAUACGGCCCAGACUCCUACGGGAGGCAGCAGUGGGGAAUAUUGCACAAUGGGCGGAAGCCUGAUGCAGCAACGCCGCGUGCGGGAUGACGGCCUUCGGGUUGUAAACCGCUUUCGCCUGUGACGAAGCGUGAGUGACGGUAAUGGGUAAAGAAGCACCGGCUAACUACGU